Long non-coding RNA from Oryzias melastigma (Indian medaka), 852 nucleotides. RefSeq lists it as uncharacterized. Lineage: Eukaryota; Metazoa; Chordata; Actinopteri; Beloniformes; Adrianichthyidae. The record is from RefSeq and is a predicted model, not a curated record. The transcript has 3 exons.
AAAAGGUGUUGUUUUGUGGUUAAGGUGUGAGAAUAUUUUUUUCUACUUAUUUUAUGUCCCACAUUUUUCAGGCCCAUUGAGAAUAUUUAUGUCAAGUUAAAACAAUCUGUUGGUACCGAAUAUUGCUAGUUGUGUUACUGAAAUUAUCCUUAGACAGGAAUUGAUUUAAUUAACUUCAUAGAAAAAAUGUUUUUUUGUAAAUUGUGUGGCUUCUGUGCACACAAAUUUAUAUUGUUUAGUAUACAUGUUAGACGCCAUAAGCACAUGGCAAAUUAUAGAUAUUCAUGUGGAAUUGACACUUGUAAUGCUACUUUCACAACAUUCACUGCCUUCCGUUCCCAUAUGCACAGGAAUCAAAGAGGAAGGGAGACCACUGAGGAGGACUCAAAGUUCACAGGUGACCUCAGAUGUAAAGUUCCUGGAUAUUUUUUGUCAGGAUCAACCCUGAAGAAGGGACAAAAUGUACCUCGAAAGUUGGCACGAGCAGAAAGACGGGGAAUGUGGUCAAGCGAAAGGUUGUUCAAAUUAAUCCCCAUGUCACAACCUUCCUCCAACGGCUGACGGAAUUUGAGUGGAAAACUUCAAAUUAGAUGACCAAUCGCCUCAGUGUUCUGGGCAACACGUGAAGAAGCCACCCACCUCAGCAUCCUGCAAAUAACUGGCUGUAUAGUUUAAUUCUUUUUUGCAACUGUGUUUAUGUAUUUUUACCUCUAUGUACCACAGUUUAUUUCUACCAACACAUAAUUUGCACGUUUUGAGCUAACUCUAGAGGAGGCUCCCCCUGAUUUAUGGUGGGAUUUUUAUUUCAAUGUAAAAAGAGAAAUCAAAUUAAAAGAAAAUGAAUAUCCAGUG